GCCAGACUCCUACGGGAGGCAGCAGUGGGGAAUAUUGCACAAUGGGCGAAAGCCUGAUGCAGCAACGCCGCGUGAAGGAAGAAGGGUUUCGGCUCGUAAACUUCUAUCAACAGGGACGAAAGAAAUGACGGUACCUGAAUAAGAAGCACCGGCUAACUCCGUGCCAGCAGCCGCGGUAAUACGGAGGGGGCAAGCGUUGUCCGGAAUCAUUGGGCGUAAAGAGUUCGUAGGUGGCAUAUUAAGUCUGGUGUUAAAUGCAGAAGCUCAACUUCUGUUCGGCACUGGAUACUGGUAAGCUUGAAUGCGGUAGAGGUAAAGGGAAUUCCUGGUGUAGCGGUGAAAUGCGUAGAUAUCGGGAGGAACAUCGGUGGCGUAAGCGCUUUACUGGGCCGUAAUUGACACUGAGGAACGAAAGCCGGGGUAGCAAAUGGGAUUAGAUACCCGAGUACG
This 450-nucleotide ribosomal RNA is filed under the name uncultured bacterium. RNAcentral describes it as "bacterial SSU rRNA". It matches the Rfam family "Bacterial small subunit ribosomal RNA", at positions 330 to 793 of the family's 1533-position model. The record is from RNAcentral.